UUUUGAAAGAAAAAUGAUGGCAUAUAUAUAUAUAAAAUCAUCCAUUUCUUUAAUUUCGGUCUGAAGCUGAUCAGAGGUAGAAAAUGUAUUAUCUAACGCUGGUGGCUUAUUACAUAUACUUCAAUUCUUCCAAAGUUUUGUAUGCUCUUUGUGUGCUGGUGUUGGGUUUGUUUUACAUCUAUGUGAUCUCAGAAAAUAUGAGAGAUACUCAGAAAGUGGCAACUUGGCUCUGCAACCAAGAGGUGAUCAUCAGCAACUUGGUGUAUCUGCAAUUUGAAGACUGUUCUUCUGGUAGUGCAUCAUCUUCUCCUCCUCAUCAUCAUCACUCAUCAAAUCACUCCUAUUAUAGGGUUUCACUCUUGUCUAGGGCUACUGGAUGAUUUUGUUUUUGCAUUUAAUAAUUUCUUGUUUCUUCUAAUUAUUUUGCUACAAAUGUAAUAGCAUUUAGAAACGGAGGUUUCUCGUAAAAAA
RNAcentral lists this unclassified non-coding RNA (471 nucleotides) under Hevea brasiliensis (rubber tree). The record is from RNAcentral. Lineage: Eukaryota; Viridiplantae; Streptophyta; Magnoliopsida; Malpighiales; Euphorbiaceae.